This 188-nucleotide ribosomal RNA is filed under the name Clostridioides difficile. RNAcentral describes it as "partial 16S ribosomal RNA". It matches the Rfam family "Bacterial small subunit ribosomal RNA", at positions 1 to 195 of the family's 1533-position model. The record is from RNAcentral. Lineage: Bacteria; Bacillati; Bacillota; Clostridia; Peptostreptococcales; Peptostreptococcaceae.
UUUUAUUUGAGAGUUUGAUCCUGGCUCAGGAUGAACGCUGGCGGCGUGCCUAACACAUGCAAGUUGAGCGAUUUACUUCGGUAAAGAGCGGCGGACGGGUGAGUAACGCGUGGGUAACCUACCCUGUACACACGGAUAACAUACCGAAAGGUAUGCUAAUACGGGAUAAUAUAUUUGAGAGGCAUCUC